RNAcentral lists this ribosomal RNA (253 nucleotides) under uncultured bacterium. Its description in RNAcentral is "partial 16S ribosomal RNA". It matches the Rfam family "Bacterial small subunit ribosomal RNA", at positions 524 to 776 of the family's 1533-position model. The record is from RNAcentral.
GACGAACCGUGCAAACGUUGUUCGGAUUCACUGGGCUUAAAGGGCGCGUAGGCGGCUUGCCAAGUCAGGGGUGAAAUCCUUCGGCUCAACCGGAGAACAGCUUCUGAUACUGGCGAGCUGGAGGGAGGUAGGGGCAGAUGGAACUUCCGGUGGAGCGGUGAAAUGCGUAGAUAUCGGAAGGAACGCCGGUGGCGAAAGCGAUCUGCUGGACCUCUUCUGACGCUGAGGCGCGAAAGCCAGGGGAGCAAACGGG